RNAcentral lists this ribosomal RNA (468 nucleotides) under uncultured bacterium. Its description in RNAcentral is "partial 16S ribosomal RNA". It matches the Rfam family "Bacterial small subunit ribosomal RNA", at positions 28 to 507 of the family's 1533-position model. The record is from RNAcentral.
GACGAACGCUGGCGGCGUGCUUAACACAUGCAAGUCGAACGGAAAGGCCCUGCUUUUGUGGGGUGCUCGAGUGGCGAACGGGUGAGUAACACGUGAGUAACCUGCCCUUGACUUUGGGAUAACUUCAGGAAACUGGGGCUAAUACCGGAUAGGAGCUCCUGCUGCAUGGUGGGGGUUGGAAAGUUUCGGCGGUUGGGGAUGGACUCGCGGCUUAUCAGCUUGUUGGUGGGGUAGUGGCUUACCAAGGCUUUGACGGGUAGCCGGCCUGGGAGGGUGACCGGCCACAUUGGGACUGAGGUACGGCCCAGACUCCUACGGGAGGCAGCAGUGGGGAAUAUUGCACAAGGGGCGGAAGCCUGAUGCAGCAACGCCGCGUGCGGGAUGACGGCCUUCGGGUUAUAAACCGCUUUCGCCUGUGACGAAGCGUGAGUGACGGUAAUGGGUAAAGAAGCACCGGCUAACUACGUG